Molecule: ribosomal RNA, 497 nt
Filed under: uncultured bacterium
Lineage: Bacteria
Description: partial 16S ribosomal RNA
Rfam family: Bacterial small subunit ribosomal RNA
Source: RNAcentral
GAUGAACGCUGGCGGCGUGCCUAAUACAUGCAAGUCGAGCGAACAGACGAGGAGCUUGCUCCUCUGACGUUAGCGGCGGACGGGUGAGUAACACGUGGAUAACCUACCUAUAAGACUGGGAUAACUUCGGGAAACCGGAGCUAAUACCGGAUAAUAUAUUGAACCGCAUGGUUCAAUAGUGAAAGACGGUUUUGCUGUCACUUAUAGAUGGAUCCGCGCCGCAUUAGCUAGUUGGUAAGGUAACGGCUUACCAAGGCAACGAUGCGUAGCCGACCUGAGAGGGUGAUCGGCCACACUGGAACUUAGACACGGUCAAGACUCCUACGGGAGGCAGCAGUAGGGAAUCUUCCGCAAUGGGCGAAAGCCUGACGGAGCAACGCCGCGUGAGUGAUGAAGGUCUUCGGAUCGUAAAACUCGGUUAUUAGGGAAGAACAAAUGUGUAAGUAACUAUGCACGUCUUGACGGUACCUAAUCAGAAAGCCACGGCUAACUACGUG